UACGUAGGGUGCAAGCGUUGUCCGGAAUUAUUGGGCGUAAAGAGCUCGUAGGCGGUUCGUCGCGUCGGCUGUGAAAACCCGGAGCUCAACUCCGGGCCUGCAGUCGAUACGGGCGGACUUGAGUGUUGCAGGGGAGACUGGAAUUCCUGGUGUAGCGGUGAAAUGCGCAGAUAUCAGGAGGAACACCUGCGGUGUAGACGGCUUACUGGACCAUCACUGACGCUGAGGCACGAAAGCGUGGGUAGCAAACAGG
Molecule: ribosomal RNA, 253 nt
Filed under: uncultured bacterium
Lineage: Bacteria
Description: partial 16S ribosomal RNA
Rfam family: Bacterial small subunit ribosomal RNA
Source: RNAcentral